GUAGGUGAACCUGCGGAAGGAUCAUUAACUAAAUCCAAACCACCUCAACCAAGCUUUUAAUAAACAACCUAACCAAAAGAAAUCUAACUAAGAUUCAACCUAAAACCAAAUCCUCAACGAUGGAUAUCUAGGUUCCUACUACGAUGAAGAACGCAGCGAAGUGCGAUAAGCAAUGCGAAUUGCAGAGCCGAGAGUCAUCAGAUUUUUGAACGUAACUGACACCGGAGAGUUCUCUCUUCGGUAUGCUUCUUUCAGUGUGUGAUUAUCUCAUCACCCAAACCUUAAUGCGAUAGAUGCCCUUCUAUUGCUAAGCUUGAAAGCACUCUGUACCCUGCAGCUGAGGUCGCAAGACUGAAGCACUCAAUGCAGUAGUCACAUUCUCAAAUGUGAACUCAUUGAGCGUAGAGUCAGUGUAUGUUUACAUACCAGUGCUUGGAUACUAAAAUUUUCUCAGCAUCUGAAAUGAAGUAGGACCACCCGCUGAACUUAAGCAUAUCAGUA
RNAcentral lists this ribosomal RNA (501 nucleotides) under Tintinnopsis parvula. RNAcentral's name for it is "eukaryotic LSU rRNA". The stretch from base 109 to 260 matches the Rfam family "5.8S ribosomal RNA". The record is from RNAcentral. Lineage: Eukaryota; Ciliophora; Spirotrichea; Tintinnida; Codonellidae.